Molecule: ribosomal RNA, 305 nt
Filed under: uncultured bacterium
Lineage: Bacteria
Description: bacterial SSU rRNA
Rfam family: Bacterial small subunit ribosomal RNA
Source: RNAcentral
CCCUACGGGGGGCAGCAGUGGGGAAUAUUGCACAAUGGGGGAAACCCUGAUGCAGCAACGCCGCGUGAGUGAGGAAGUAUUUCGGUAUGUAAAGCUCUAUCAGCAGGGAAUAGAAAAGAAGGUACCUGAAAAAGAAGCCCCGGCUAACUACGUGCCAGCAGCCGCGGUAAUACGUAGGGGGCAAGCGUUAUCCGGAUUUACUGGGUGUAAAGGGAGCGUAGACGGUUAUGCAAGUCUGAAGUGAAAGCCCAAGGCUCAACCAUGGGACUGCUUUGGAGACUGUAAAACUGGAGUGCAGGAGAGGG